AACGAACGCUGGCGGCAGGCUUAACACAUGCAAGUCGAGCGGGGUGAUGGUGCUUGCACUAUCACUUAGCGGCGGACGGGUGAGUAAUGCUUAGGAAUCUGCCUAUUAGUGGGGGACAACAUCUCGAAAGGGAUGCUAAUACCGCAUACGUCCUACGGGAGAAAGCAGGGGAUCACUUGUGACCUUGCGCUAAUAGAUGAGCCUAAGUCGGAUUAGCUAGUUGGUGGGGUAAAGGCCUACCAAGGCGACGAUCUGUAGCGGGUCUGAGAGGAUGAUCCGCCACACUGGGACUGAGACACGGCCCAGACUCCUACGGGAGGCAGCAGUGGGGAAUAUUGGACAAUGGGGGGAACCCUGAUCCAGCCAUGCCGCGUGUGUGAAGAAGGCCUUAUGGUUGUAAAGCACUUUAAGCGAGGAGGAGGCUCUUUUGGUUAAUACCCAAGAUGAGUGGACGUUACUCGCAGAAUAAGCACCGGCUAACCCUGUGCCAGCAGCCGCGGUAA
This 503-nucleotide ribosomal RNA is filed under the name uncultured bacterium. RNAcentral's name for it is "partial 16S ribosomal RNA". It matches the Rfam family "Bacterial small subunit ribosomal RNA", at positions 29 to 523 of the family's 1533-position model. The record is from RNAcentral.